Molecule: ribosomal RNA, 504 nt
Filed under: uncultured bacterium
Lineage: Bacteria
Description: bacterial SSU rRNA
Rfam family: Bacterial small subunit ribosomal RNA
Source: RNAcentral
UGAGUAAUGUCUGGGAAACUGCCCGAUGGAGGGGGAUAACUACUGGAAACGGUAGCUAAUACCGCAUAACGUCUUCGGACCAAAGUGGGGGACCUUCGGGCCUCACACCAUCGGAUGUGCCCAGAUGGGAUUAGCUAGUAGGUGGGGUAAUGGCUCACCUAGGCGACGAUCCCUAGCUGGUCUGAGAGGAUGACCAGCCACACUGGAACUGAGACACGGUCCAGACUCCUACGGGAGGCAGCAGUGGGGAAUAUUGCACAAUGGGCGCAAGCCUGAUGCAGCCAUGCCGCGUGUAUGAAGAAGGCCUUCGGGUUGUAAAGUACUUUCAGUGGGGAGGAAGGCGUUAAGGUUAAUAACCUUGGCGAUUGACGUUACCCGCAGAAGGAGCACCGGCUAACUCCGUGCCAGCAGCCGCGGUAAUACGGAGGGUGCAAGCGUUAAUCGGAAUUACUGGGCGUAAAGCGCACGCAGGCGGUCUGUCAAGUCGGAUGUGAAAUCCCCGGG